Molecule: ribosomal RNA, 483 nt
Filed under: Ulvibacter sp. 12-34
Lineage: Bacteria; Pseudomonadati; Bacteroidota; Flavobacteriia; Flavobacteriales; Flavobacteriaceae
Description: bacterial SSU rRNA
Rfam family: Bacterial small subunit ribosomal RNA
Source: RNAcentral
GAUAACGCUAGCGGCAGGCCUAACACAUGCAAGUCGAGGGGUAACAGGGGAGCUUGCUUCUGCUGACGACCGGCGCACGGGUGCGUAACGCGUAUACAAUCUGCCUUAUACUAGGGGAGAUAGCCUUUGGAAACGAAGAUUAAUACCCCAUAGUAAGUGAAGAUGGCAUCAUCAUCACUUUAAAGAUUACGGUAUAAGAUGAGUAUGCGUCCUAUUAGUUUGUUGGUAAGAGUAACGGCUUACCAAGACUACGAUAGGUAGGGGCCCUGAGAGAGGGGAUCCCCCACACUGGUACUGAGACACGGACCAGACUCCUACGGGAGAGCAGCAGUGAGGAAUAUUGGACAAUGGGCGAGAGCCUGAUCCAGCCAUGCCGCGUGCAGGAAGACGGCCCUAUGGGUUGUAAACUGCUUUUAUACAGGAAGAAACACUCCCUCGUGAGGGAGCUUGACGGUACUGUAAGAAUAAGGACCGGCUAACUCC